This 326-nucleotide long non-coding RNA is filed under the name Brassica napus (rape). Its description in RNAcentral is "long non-coding RNA (BNAP_LNC024411)". The record is from RNAcentral. Lineage: Eukaryota; Viridiplantae; Streptophyta; Magnoliopsida; Brassicales; Brassicaceae.
CCAUCCAUCAAGUCCAUGCACGCCUCUCCUUUACAGCUAGCACCAGAACAUCAAAGACCAUCCUUCUCUCAUCCUAUCCAUCCAAUCUAUCUUGCAUUUAUGUCCAUAGGAUCUAGGUUUAUUCUUUGAUACAUGUAAAGGCAUAUAUAAGCCUUAGAUGACGUUUUGUAACACAAAAGGGAGUAAGGGGGAUUUCCCCUCUCCACUUCAUGAAUGAUAAACUUGUUCUUGAAUCUAAAACCCUAAUCUCUAAUCUCUUAUUCUCCUAAUCUCUCAGUCUCUUAAUCUAUGUUCCUAAGUCUCUUAUUCUCUCAUAAACACUCAUC